RNAcentral lists this unclassified non-coding RNA (159 nucleotides) under uncultured Collophora. Its description in RNAcentral is "sequence contains ITS1". The record is from RNAcentral. Lineage: Eukaryota; Fungi; Ascomycota; Leotiomycetes.
CAGAGAACUUGCCCUUCGGGGUAGAUCUCCCACCCUGUUUACUAUACCUUUGUUGCUUUGGCAGGCCCGUCUUCGGACCACCGGCUUUGGCUGGUCAGUGCUUGUCAGAGAACCCUAAACUCUUGAUAUUUUGUUGUCUGAGUAUAAUGAAAUUAUUUA